UCCCCUGGCACUGCGAAGGACAAGCUCCUGCCCUGACUGGCCUGGCCCUGCUUUGGGCAGCUCUCCCCACUUUGUACUCUUUUGUGCAGGCUUAAGGAGUGUCGGGUCCUUAGAGAGAGAGAGGGGGCAGCACCUGGACUGCUCCCUCUCAGCCCCUGCUAGCAGCUAAUUGCUGACUGCCUCCCGGCUGGGGGAAUUUCAGCAUUUUUUAGCUCUCCCCUACUGUUGUGAGGGCAGGAAGAAGUGUUCAAGCCAUUUCUGAGUUUAGAGGCUCUGUGACUCAUCUUGGACUUCUGUGGUGUGGAUCUCUAUUACUGGACAUUGCUGGCAACAUCACAGGCCGCUCCUGCAGAAAGAAUCCAGCAGGGGAUCUUGGCUCAGUGCCUCUCUCACAUCCGUUGCCAGUGAAACUGCUUCGGCAUUCAGUGUUUCAAAGUGCUGCUCAAUGUUGGACUGGAGGUGACUUUUUACCGCGGAGACACAAGCAGGAAUAUGACACCUCCACAAAUCUUGUUGAAUUUUGCACCUAUUCCCUUCUUUGAGAUUGAGAAUGCCAUGAGGAUAUUAAUGUGUAAAAGUGUCUGUUUCAAAUCGGCUAUAGAGAGCUCUCUAUCUUGCAGAAUUUAACCCUCUUGCACCACAGAUCUCCUCUCUUGAACUGUACAGAAAUGCACUGAAAUAAUGAUACAUUUUUUCACCCAUACAUGUGUCCUGUAAUGUGCAUAUGCAAGUCUUCUGCAUGGCAGAAUCUUUAUGAUUGAUUUCUCUUUAUGAAUGCUUUUAUAGUGAUACUGUGGAGAAAACUAGAAUAAGAAAUAUUUUCCAAUUCCAGUUGGAAAAUUUUUGGUCAACUGCUUUGAUGCUGAAUAUCAUCAUGUCAUUACUGCUUAAAUGCUUCUAUACAUAUUUGCACCAAGUAAGGAUCUGAUGUUUUCUGUUAGAUUUGAAAGAUAAGGAAAUAACAAAUUAUACUUAAGAAAUUGCUAACAGGCAAUGCAUAUAUCCUCCAGCAUGUCAUUUUCUUCCUUGGUUAAGUUUCUGUUGAAAACUAUGGUUAUUGUGAUCUGUGCUAGAUUGUAUGGUCCUGCUCUGGUGGCGGUGGGGGGGUUGACUCAAUGAUCUUGGGUCACUUCCAACCCUUAUUAUCCUGUGAUACGAAAAUGCCAGAUAAAAUACUGCAAAAAUACUGCUAUCUUACUUAUUAGUAGUAUUAGAGAUGUUGAUGCUGUGGAGACGUUUUCACUUUCCAGAAACAUGUUCUGGGAAAAUAGGAGGUCAAGAUGUUGGCUUGACAUUACUGAACUGUAACAUAACUGCAGUUAUACUGGUAUAUUGAAGCCACUCAGUUAUGGAGUUUUUGGUGAUGUGCUGCUCAAACAUGAAAAUUUUUAAUGAGGUUAAAUGUGCAGCCUAUGAAUAUUUUGGAUUAAGAGAGAAGAAUAAGUUUACUACAGUACUUACCAUAAUACUUAUAGCUGGUAAACCAAUAAAAUUUUAAUGGGCUAUGUUAGGAGUGAAGUGAAAAUCAAGUAGCUAAUGAGAAUUUAACUCUGGAGUAUAAACCAGUACAGUUACAUUAUACACUAGAAAGUGAAUUUACAAAAACAAAGCAUUUGGGUACUAUUUGAUCUGUUUGAAAAUGAAAACACCAGUACUGAAAGCCCCAGUGAAUUCUUGGGUUGUAUUUAACCAUGCAGUUAACAUAAGAAGUCACAGUCUCUGAUCUAUGACUCCCUAUCAUCUUAUUGAUUACAAAUGACACCUGAAUACGUUUGCUUCUGUGCCAUGUUAAGUAGACCAAAAUCAGUAUUUCACAUAGUGAUGUGACUUCUCUUGAGCUCUAUGCAGAUAUCGUGGGAGAUGUCUAGUGCAUCUGCAGCUCAGGAUCCUGCUUGAAACUUGUGUUGGCUCCCUGCCAGCCCACAAGCCUUGAAUAAACAGGGGACUCAUUGCAUGAA
Molecule: long non-coding RNA, 1958 nt
Organism: Pogoniulus pusillus (Red-fronted tinkerbird)
Lineage: Eukaryota; Metazoa; Chordata; Aves; Piciformes; Lybiidae
Exons: 3
Source: RefSeq, a predicted model, not a curated record